GACGAACGCUGGCGGCGUGCCUAAUACAUGCAAGUAGAACGCUGAAGAGAGGAGCUUGCUCUUCUUGGAUGAGUUGCGAACGGGUGAGUAACGCGUAGGUAACCUGCCUGGUAGCGGGGGAUAACUAUUGGAAACGUUAGCUAAUACCCCAUAAAAUGGUUAAUCGCAUGAUAAUCCAUUGAAAGGUGCAAAUGCAUCCCUCCCAAUUGGACUUGCGUUGUAUUAGCUAGUUGGUGGGGUAACGGCUCACCAAGGCGACGAUACAUAGCCGACCUGAGAGGGUGAUCGGCCACACUGGGACUGAGACACGGCCCAGACUCCUACGGGAGGCAGCAGUAGGGAAUCUUCGGCAAUGGACGGAAGUCUGACCGAGCAACGCCGCGUGAGUGAAGAAGGUUUUCGGAUCGUAAAGCUCUGUUGUAAGAGAAGAACGAGUGUGAGAGUGGAAAGUUCACACUGUGACGGUAUCUUACCAGAAAGGGACGGCUAACUACGUG
Molecule: ribosomal RNA, 497 nt
Filed under: uncultured bacterium
Lineage: Bacteria
Description: partial 16S ribosomal RNA
Rfam family: Bacterial small subunit ribosomal RNA
Source: RNAcentral